This 461-nucleotide ribosomal RNA is filed under the name uncultured Pelotomaculum sp. Its description in RNAcentral is "bacterial SSU rRNA". It matches the Rfam family "Bacterial small subunit ribosomal RNA", at positions 923 to 1382 of the family's 1533-position model. Lineage: Bacteria; Bacillati; Bacillota; Clostridia; Eubacteriales; Desulfotomaculaceae. The record is from RNAcentral.
GCACAAGCGGUGGAGCAUGUGGUUUAAUUCGACGCAACGCGAAGAACCUUACCAGGGCUUGACAUCCCCUGACCGCGUAUGAAAGUACGUUUUCACCCUCGGGUGACAGGGAGACAGGUGGUGCAUGGUUGUCGUCAGCUCGUGUCGUGAGAUGUUGGGUUAAGUCCCGCAACGAGCGCAACCCCUACGUUUAGUUGCUAACAGGUGAAGCUGAGCACUCUAGACGAACUGCCGUUGACAAAACGGAGGAAGGUGGGAUGACGUCAAAUCAUCAUGCCCCUUAUGUUCUGGGCUACACACGUGCUACAAUGGCCGGUACAGACGGACGCAAAGCCGCGAGGUGGAGCAAAUCCUAAAAAGCCGGUCUCAGUUCGGAUUGCAGGCUGCAAUUCGCCUGCAUGAAGUCGGAAUCGCUAGUAAUCGCAGGUCAGCAUACUGCGGUGAAUACGUUCCCGGGCCUU